CGCCGAAGGUGGGGCUAAUGACUGGGGUGAAGUCGUAACAAGGUAGCCGUACCGGAAGGUGCGGCUGGAUCACCUCCUAACAGGGAGACAACAAAAUGUUUAAUAUUAUUAUUUUGUCACCUUAGGUCGAUCGGUAUCUCACGUUUUUAAUUUAUUAAGAAUUUCAUUUCCUAAGUUUUUCUAGGUCACACCCAUUAUUUUUCCUGGGCCAUUAGCUCAGGUGGUUAGAGCGCACCCCUGAUAAGGGUGAGGUCCCUGGUUCAAGUCCAGGAUGGCCCAUAUCUCUAUGUUGGGGGUAUAGCUCAGUUGGUAGAGCGCCUGCUUUGCAAGCAGGAUGUCAGCGGUUCGAGUCCGCUUACCUCCACUGAUUACCACCUCUUCCAUAACCGGUAGAAAGGAAAUGUUUUGAGUUGUGAUCAAAUCCUGAAAGAAUCUAGCUUCCUAAUGAAAUCAUUAAGAUGCUGGACUCAUUGAAUUAAUUUCAUUGUUUUCAGAGAACCUUGACAACUGCAUAGAUUAUUUUUAAAGACAAUAAGCAUCUUUAAUGAUGCAGAUUUAUUAUUUGUGCGAAUGCAUUAAUAACAAUUCUAUUAAGCUGAUGCUUCAAUUUUUGAAGUUAUUGGUCAAGCUACAAAGGGCUCACGGAGGAUACCUAGGCACACAGAG
RNAcentral lists this unclassified non-coding RNA (666 nucleotides) under uncultured Prochlorococcus sp. RNAcentral describes it as "partial may contain 16S ribosomal RNA, 16S-23S ribosomal RNA intergenic spacer, and 23S ribosomal RNA". The stretch from base 292 to 364 matches the Rfam family "tRNA". Lineage: Bacteria; Bacillati; Cyanobacteriota; Cyanophyceae; Synechococcales; Prochlorococcaceae. The record is from RNAcentral.